CGCAUCUGUGCAUGGCAGCAUAUCAAUAAGCGGAGGAAAAGAAACUAACAAGGAUUCCCCUAGUAACGGCGAGUGAAGCGGGAAGAGCUCAAAUUUGAAAUCUUAAAGGGUUUCCCUUUACGAAUUGUAGUCUAAAGAAGUGUUUUCUGUUGAGGUUUUGGUAAAAGUUCUUUGGAAUAGGACAUCAUAGAGGGUGAGAAUCCCGUAUUUGACCUUUACUUUCAACUUUGUGAUACACUUUCAAAGAGUCGGAUUGUUUGGGAAUGCAGUCCAAAAUGGGUGGUAAAUUUCAUCUAAAGCUAAAUAUUGGCGAGGGACCGAUAGCGAACAAGUACCGUGAGGGAAAGAUGAAAAGAACUUUGAAAAGAGAGUUAAACAGUACGUGAAAUUGUCAAAAGGGAAGCGUUUGACACCAGUGUUGUUUUUCUGAAAAUCAAUUAAAGAACUGUUUAUGCUAAGUUGUUUAGACUUUAUCAGCUAAUCUGCUUAGUUUUGAGCUUUUCUUUAAUGCACUUUUCAGUUAACAAGUCAACAUCAAUUUCUUUUGCUGUAAAAAAGCUUGAGGAAGGUGGCUUGAGAUUCGUCUUAAGUGUUUAUAGCCUCUUGCCUAUGCAGUCGGAGAGAUUGAGGUCUGCAGCGUAGAUCCUUCGGGGCUAAAUGCAUUUGUGCUAAGUUAUAGCAUUUUAUAGACAACUUGUUGACUAUGAUUUGUCUUGUAGCUUACUCGCUUAUGUUAUUUUACCUACGCUUAGGAUGUUGAAUCUGUGCGAGACUAC
RNAcentral lists this ribosomal RNA (776 nucleotides) under uncultured Neocallimastigales. RNAcentral describes it as "partial large subunit ribosomal RNA". It matches the Rfam family "Eukaryotic large subunit ribosomal RNA", at positions 22 to 644 of the family's 3401-position model. The record is from RNAcentral. Lineage: Eukaryota; Fungi; Neocallimastigomycota; Neocallimastigomycetes; Neocallimastigales.